GAUGAACGCUGGCGGCGUGCCUAAUACAUGCAAGUCGAGCGAACAGACGAGGAGCUUGCUCCUCUGACGUUAGCGGCGGACGGGUGAGUAACACGUGGAUAACCUACCUAUAAGACUGGGAUAACUUCGGGAAACCGGAGCUACUACCGGAUAAUAUAUUGAACCGCAUGGUUCAAUAGUGAAAGACGGUUUUGCUGUCACUUAUAGAUGGAUCCGCGCCGCAUUAGCUAGUUGGUAAGGUAACGGCUUACCAAGGCAACGAUGCGUAGCCGACCUGAGAGGGGGAUCGGCCACACUGGAACUGAGACACGGUCCAGACUCCUACGGGAGGCAGCAGUAGGGAAUCUUCCGCAAUGGGCGAAAGCCUGACGGAGCAGCGCCGCGUGAGUGAUGAAGGUCUUCGGAUCGUAAAACUCUGUUAUUAGGGAAAAACAAAUGUGUAAGUAACUAUGCACGUCUUGACGGUACCUAAUGAGAAAGCCACGGCUAACUACGUG
This 497-nucleotide ribosomal RNA is filed under the name uncultured bacterium. RNAcentral describes it as "partial 16S ribosomal RNA". It matches the Rfam family "Bacterial small subunit ribosomal RNA", at positions 28 to 507 of the family's 1533-position model. The record is from RNAcentral.